AAUAAAAUGGCUGAGGAAUUAAGCGAUAAAUUGUAAAUUUAUUUACGAGAAUUAUUCUCUUUUAUUA
RNAcentral lists this transfer RNA (67 nucleotides) under Amerila alberti. RNAcentral describes it as "tRNA-Tyr". It matches the Rfam family "tRNA". From Rfam's summary of the family: Transfer RNA (tRNA) molecules are approximately 80 nucleotides in length. Their secondary structure includes four short double-helical elements and three loops (D, anti-codon, and T loops). The record is from RNAcentral. Lineage: Eukaryota; Metazoa; Arthropoda; Insecta; Lepidoptera; Erebidae.